GGAAGGAUGGCUGAGUGGUUGAAAGCGAUCGCCUCGAAAGCGAUUAGGCCGUAAGGCCUCGCAGGUUCAAAUCCUGCUCCUUCCGCCA
RNAcentral lists this transfer RNA (88 nucleotides) under Omnitrophica WOR_2 bacterium RBG_13_41_10. RNAcentral describes it as "tRNA-Ser". It matches the Rfam family "tRNA". Rfam says of the family: Transfer RNA (tRNA) molecules are approximately 80 nucleotides in length. Their secondary structure includes four short double-helical elements and three loops (D, anti-codon, and T loops). Lineage: Bacteria; Pseudomonadati; Candidatus Omnitrophota. The record is from RNAcentral.